UAUGUGAUCGUCUCUCGCAUAUCAAUAAGCGGAGGAAAAGAAACUAACAAGGAUUCCCCUAGUAACGGCGAGUGAAGCGGGAAGAGCUCAAAUUUGAAAUCUUAAAGGGUUUCCCUUUACGAAUUGUAGUUUAAAGAAGUGUUUUCUGUUGAGGUUUUGGUAAAAGUUCUUUGGAAUAGGACAUCAUAGAGGGUGAGAAUCCCGUAUUUGACCUUUACUUUCAACUUUGUGAUACACUUUCAAAGAGUCGGAUUGUUUGGGAAUGCAGUCCAAAAUGGGUGGUAAAUUUCAUCUAAAGCUAAAUAUUGGCGAGAGACCGAUAGCGAACAAGUACCGUGAGGGAAAGAUGAAAAGAACUUUGAAAAGAGAGUUAAACAGUACGUGAAAUUGUCAAAAGGGAAGCGUUUGACACCAGUGUUGCUUUUCUGAAAAUCAAUUAAAGAACUGUUUAUGCUAAGCUGUUUAGACUUUAUCAGCUAACUGUUUAGUUUUGAGCUUUUCUUUAAUGCACUUUUCAGUUAACAAGUCAACAUCAAUUUCUUUUGCUGUAAAAAAGCUUGAGGAAGGUGGCUUGAGAUUCGUCUUAAGUGUUUAUAGCCUCUUGCCUAUGCAGUCGGAGAGAUUGAGGUCUGCAGCGUAGAUCCUUCGGGGCUAAAUGCAUUUGUGCUAAGUUAUAGCAUUUUAUAGACAACUUGUUGACUAUGAUUUGUCUUGUAGGCUUACUCGCUUAUGUUAUUUUACCUACGCUUAGGAUGUUGAGUAGCGACAUACGCAC
Molecule: ribosomal RNA, 775 nt
Filed under: uncultured Neocallimastigales
Lineage: Eukaryota; Fungi; Neocallimastigomycota; Neocallimastigomycetes; Neocallimastigales
Description: partial large subunit ribosomal RNA
Rfam family: Eukaryotic large subunit ribosomal RNA
Source: RNAcentral